GAGGUCUUAGUAAAACAAUUACAUAACUUUGUCAAAGUUAAAUUACAGACUAAACCUCUGUAUUCCUCU
RNAcentral lists this transfer RNA (69 nucleotides) under Eozapus setchuanus (Chinese jumping mouse). Its description in RNAcentral is "tRNA-Asp". Lineage: Eukaryota; Metazoa; Chordata; Mammalia; Rodentia; Dipodidae. The record is from RNAcentral.